Oryctolagus cuniculus (rabbit) is the source of this 10945-nucleotide non-coding RNA. Lineage: Eukaryota; Metazoa; Chordata; Mammalia; Lagomorpha; Leporidae. The record is from RefSeq and is a predicted model, not a curated record.
UGUGGCAUAGUGGGCUAAGCUUCCGCCUGUCCUGCUGGCAUCCUAUAUGGAUGCUGGUUCUAGUCCUGGCUGCUCCUCUUCCCAUCCAGCUCUCUGCUAUGGCCUGCAAAAGCAGUAGAAGAUGGCCCAAGUCCUUGGGCCCCUGCAUGGGAGACCCUGAAGAAGCUCCUGGCUCCUGGCUUCAGAUCUGCCCAGCCCCAGCCAUUGCGGCCAUUUGGGGAGUGAACCAGUGAAUGGAAGACCUUUCUAUCUCUCCCAUCCCCACCCCAUAACUCUGCCUCUCAAAUAAGUAGAGUCAUAAAAAUAAUAAAAGGAGAGGGGAGAAACACCCCAAAGGGAGGUCUUGUUUUUGUCUUUUUUUUUUUUCAUUUUUUAUAAAAAGCUUUUCUGAGGGAUAAUUACUGUACAAAUAAAGUACAUAUUUCAGGAUAGGUGUUUGACCUCACAGUUAGAUCAUUACUUGAGACAUCGGCAUCCCACACUGGAGUUUCUGGGUUUGAGCAUGGGUUCCACUCCACUCUUGAUUCCAGCUUCCUGCUAAUUUGUACCCUCAGAGGCAGCAGAUACCUGGGUCCCCCUGCCUCCCACAUAGGAAACCAAGAUUGAGUUCCCGGCUCCCAGCUUCACCAUGGCCCAGCGCUGGUCAUCGUGGACAUUUGGAGAGUGAACCAGUGGAUGGGAGAGCUCUAUUUACCUACCUACCUACCUCUGUCUCUAUCUCUCUGCCUCUCAGAGAUAAUAGAGUACCAAUGACGAGAAGAAAUGUUCUUGCAAAGGGGAUGUGGAAGUUUUUGUUUUAUAUAUACAGGCUGCACAAUGUUUCAAUCAGUAACUGGUGAGGGUGGUCUCAUAAGGGUGCAUCACAUGGUGACGUUGUCAUCCAAGUUUGUAUGAUUACACUUUAUGACGCAUUUUUCGGAACUUGUCCUCAUUAAGCAGCAUAUGAUUGUAUUUUGUUUUCUUGUAGGAGGAGAAAGGACUUUAAAUAGUUUCAGGUAUGUUGAGUUGAAAUGAUGGUGAAGCCCGAAUGUGAAAACUUUUGAUGGAUAAUUAGUACUACUUAUAUACAUAUAGAACUUAAUAUACAUAUAAGACUCAUUUUGAAUAGAGAUUUGAGCAAAACAAACACAAAACUUCAUUCUAGUUCUAGGUCUUGUCCUACGCCUCAAAGAUGCAUUGAGGAACACCAGCUUCUGCUCUCAGGGGCCGGAGUUCAUAAGAGGAAAGAGGCCUCUAUCCAGGGAGCCACAGCACAGUGGAUUAAUCCUCUGCCUGCGGUGCUGGCAUCCCAUUGGGCCCCUGCCAGCCACGUGGGAGGUCCAGCUUUGCAUCGAUUGUGAAGUAAUUCUGUCCACCUCUCUGUGGAGACAGCCAGAUGGCCCUCGUGACCAGGUUGGAACCCUAGAUUGCAGUAAACAACUAAUCCUGCCAUCCUGUCUCGUUCGUUUUCCCCCAUACUGUAAGGCUUCUCCUUCAGUAGAAAUGAAUCCCAUGUACCUUAAAAGAUUGCCCCAGGGCAAACAACAUAUGGAAAGGAAAACUGGCUUAUUGCCACGAAAAACACGAACUCAGCAGAUUUGCCUUUCCUCCUAAGUUUAACCCAAUGAAGAAAAGUGCUUACAUCACCAAAGCUUCAGAGACCCCAGGGAAAUUGCUGACAGCUGAUUUCUCAAUCACUCCUCAGAGCGCAGUAGAGGGCAAAUGCUUCAAGUUGUAGGAACCUUGUGGUCACACAUUUGCAAAGAUGCUUAAAAACAUAAAAUGCAAUAAAGAGGUUCAUUCAUGUGUUUAGGAUCACUAUGCUCUCACUUCAAGUUUGAAACAGCCUCACUCAUUUGGAAGAAUACCUUGGAGGCAGAACAAUUCAGCUUACGUAAAAGUAAAUUAUGAGAAUAAACUCAGACCAAACAAUGUGGUGACUUUCCAGAAUCCAAGUACGGGCACAGCAACACCCAUCCUCAGCUGAGAACGUGUCUGUCCACCAGCUCUCUCUCUCCUAGACCCAACUCCUUUUGGAAUUUCACAGCCAAGCAAGUAGACAACUGGAGAGAAUGUUGUCUUUUGGUACCAGUGUGCCCGGAGUAAAGGGGGAAAAUGUUUCCCCUCGGAUCCUAAUUUCAAUAGCCCUUUGUGUUCUGUGGAUAUCCCUCUAACAUUGGAUGGUAAGGGUGCACAAUACACAAUUGACUAGGUCCACUAGAAUAAAUUGUUUAGGUUUCGGGAAAAUGUUUAGUUUGGCAAUAUCUUAUUCUGUGUAUCCUGAAAUGUAUUUUCAAAAAUAUGACUUUAGUUUCUGGGAAUUAAGCGCAUACUUACACGCAACACAAAUUAGCACUGUAUGAAGUAACUUAGAUUGACAUAACUGGUCUACACGCUCUGCACUUUUCUCAUACUUAGAAAGAAAUCCUUUGUAACAGCCCACGUGCCCAGUGUGGUCUGGUCUUGCCUUCUCCAAAUCCACUUUACUCCUUGCCCAAUAACCACACUGGCCUCAUGUUCAGUGUCUCAAACACUUGAGACUUUUCUCUUGACUAGGCCUUGGCACAUGCUGGUCCCUCGAUCUGGAAUGCUUUUCCCCAACUUCUUUCUGUGCUGGCUGCUUCCGAGGUCUUAGAUCCUGAUGUAAAAGUCAAUUUCCUGGAAAGGCCUUCUUUGAAUACCUGUUUCCUUCUCUCCCAUUUAUUUCCAAAGUAGCACCCAGUUUUUCCUUUUCAUAGGACUCAACUAUUUUCCUGUUACUUGUUUGUUCAUUGUCUUUCUUAUUAGGAUCCAAGCACCUGAAGUCAGGCACUACAUGUAGCUGAUUCACUACUGAGUCCCCAGAACCUGUACAGUUUUUAGACGCCACUGCUCUGUGAAUUCUGUGAGAGCUUCCGAUAGCGCCGUGUAAGGUGUAUAAGGUAAGCAGGACCUGGGUGGCCUGAAAGCUGUGCACUUGCAAUAUCUCUGCUGCAGGAGUCGGGAGACUGGGGAGCAGUUUGGGGAGAGAAGCGGACCAGCUAGGAGGAUGCGGUGGAGCUGUUUGAGACCGUGGAUGUGGAACCUGCAGGAAUGGAGGGCUCACCAAAUGGAAUUUAAGGCUCCUGGGAGUGGAGGUGGCCAGGGAAAUUGCUGGGGACAGCUGCUGAGCCACAGAGGUCAGAGAGCGAGGAUGGUGACAGAAGUGUGGAAUGGCCACGUGAAGGACAAUGGACAGGAAGUUUUCUAAAGUUAAGUUUAAAGGGAUGGAAAUGAGCCCUACAUCCCACUUUAAAACAAUGCUACACACAAGAGUAUUCUUUUUUAAAAAGAUAUAAACAUGCUUCUUUUUAAAACUAUUUUUUUCCCUUCCUUCCUCCCUUCAUCCCUCCCUCCCUCCCUCUCUCUCUUCCUUCCUUCCUUCUUUCCUUCUUUCCUUCUUUCCUUGUUGCUAGGAAGAGAGAGUGAGAACUUCCAUCCACUGGUUCGUUCUCCAAAUACACGCAGCAGCCAGGGCUGUGCCAGGCUAAAACCAAGAGUCUAGAACUCCAUCUGUGUUUCCCACAUGGGUGGCAGGGACCCAAACAUUGAGCCUUUUGCUGCUCCUCUGAGUGCACAUUAGCUAGAAGCUUGAGUUGUAAGCAGAGUUGAGACUUGAACCCAGUCACUCUGAUAUAGGAUACAGGCAUCCCAGGGAGGGCUUUAUUUUAUUUACUUAUUUGAAAGGCAGAGUUAAAGGGAGAAGGAGAGUUGGGGAGGUGGGGAGGCAGGAGUCAGGAGCUUCUUCUGGGUCUCCCGCAUGGGUGCAGAGGCCCAAACACUUGGACAAUUUUCCACUCCUUUCCUAGGAGCAUUAGUGGGGAGCAGGAUCCAAAGUGGAACAGCCAGGACUGGAACCUGUACUCAUAUGGCAUGCUGGCCUCAUAGGCACUGGCUUAACCCACUUUGCCACAACAUUGGCCUCCCAAAUUGCAUGCUGUGCCAAACUAUGUGUCUGAGGAAUGUUUUUUUUUUUUUUAAGAUUAAUUUAUUUACCUGCAAAUCAGAGUUACAGACAGAGAGCGAGACAGAAAGGUCUUCCAUCUGCUGGUUCACUCCCCAAAUGGCCGCAGUAGUCAGAGCUGAGCUGAUCCGAAACCAGGAGCCAAGAGCUUUUUCUGGGUCUCCCACAGGGGUGCAGGGGCCCAAGGACUUGGGCCAUCUUCUACUGCUUUCCCAGACCAUCACCAAGGAGAUGGAUCAGUAGUGGAAUAGCCAGGACUAGAACCGGUGCCCAUAUGGGAUGUUGGUACCAUAGGCUGAUGCUUAAUCUACUAUGCCCCAGCACCGUGCCCCCCUCCCCCAGAAGUGUCCUUAAGUAGUCAAUGGGAUAGUGCAUUUGAAAUCAGGGUUGCACGUGAUUAUUUUGGACAAUAGCAUACUCAUAUAUGAAUUUAGAUAAUAACAGGUUUUAAAUACCCAGCAUAAUGUGUGUACCUUAUUAAAAUCUCAGGCAUAGUGUUAUUUACAAAAGCAGCAGGCAAUGCAUCCCACGAGGCAGCAUUUGUUUUUGUUUGUUUUUAAAGAUUUUAUUUAUUUAUUUGACAGAUAGAAUUACAGACAGUGAGAGAGAGAGACAGAGACAAAGGUCUUCCUUCCGUUGGUUCACUCCCCAAAUGGCUGGAGCUGCACCGACCCAAAGCCAGGAGCCAGGUGCUUCUUCCUGGUCUCCCAUGCAGGUGCAGGGGCCCAAGGAUUUGACCAUCUUCUACUGCUUUCCCAGGCCAUAGCAGAGAGCUGGAUUGGAAGAAGGGCUAUCAGGAUUAGAACCAGCACCCAUAUGGGAUGCUGGCGCCACAGGUGGAGGAUUAACCUAGUGUGCACAGUGCCGGCCCCAAGACAGCAUUUGUUAUAUCACCAAAUAGGAUGCCAGUAUCACUGGUCUGUGAGUAGACAAGGAUGAUGUAAACUCAAGAGUCAAGAUGUACUUGGAGCCCUAAAAGAUCCACCAGUGCACAAAUUCAGCAAGGCUAGACCCCUCCAGGGGGUCAUCACAAUAAAAGUGUACGGAUAUGUAUACAGGGCCAGCACUGUGGCAUAGCAGGUAGUCGUUGCCUGUAGUGCUGGCAUCCCCUAUGGGUGUUGGUUCAAGUUCCGGCUGCUCCAUUUCCAAUCCAGCUCCCUGUUAAUGGCCUGGGAAAGCAAUGGAAGAUGGCCCAAGUGUUUGGGCCCCUACACCUACGUGGGAGAAUCAAAAGAUCCAGGCUCCUGCUCCUGGCUUCAGAUCCAUUCAGCUCUGGCCAUUGUGGCCAUCUGGGGAGUGAACCAGGGCAUGGAAGACCUUUCUGUCUGUCUGUCUGUCUCUCUCUCUCUUUCUGACUAUGCCGCUCUGUAACUCUGAUUUUCAAAUAAAUAAAUCUUUUUUUAAAAAGGACCUGUAUACACCCAAAAUUAAUUUUUAGAUCUGAGGAAAAGAAAAUAGACAUGGCUGCAGGUGUCGACAAGGCAAGAAUUUGCUGUGUCUUUUGGGAGGACAUCAUCCACCGAGCUAAUGGCUCCUCCAAUAAUUCAUAUUAUUCCUGCAAGAGACUGCGGAUCCCUGAGAGUGUGGGUGGUGACGUCUACCCUCGAGACGUUGGUUCACUAGUGAGAGGAUUUAUUGGAUUUUCAAAUGCUUUCCUUUCUGUGAUUUUUCUGACCCAGAAAUAUGCUUUUUAUUUCAGCAGCUCUCUCAAAACAGCUGAAUAAAUGACAGGUCCCAAACAAUCACCGUUAACUAUAAAUCAAAAUGUUAUGUUUGCUCAGUUAUGCCAUGGUUCCUCAGUUUGUUCUCUGUCUAUCACCAGUGAAGUAGAAUCCACCACUAGAAUGAUGAUUAAAGGCAUUUUACCAAAAAUAUUUACUCUAUUCUGCGGCAAACACUUGUCAUCUCUAACUUAAGUUGAACAGCCCUUGUUUAACCCAACGUUACUCUGCCGCUACAUGAAAUAGAGGCAUCUGGAUUUUAUUUUCUUCUUCUCUUUCUAAUUAUAGCUUAAUUUAUCAACCACACAGUUUAAGAUGGUUAUUCCUAGUAGGUUUCUCCAUGACAAGACAUACUAGAAUUAUUCAUUUCAAAAAUUUUGUUGUUUUUAUUCUUUUGAAGGGUAAAUAUCAGUGUAAUUUUUCCAUGUGUAUUUAACUGUUCAUGGAAAAGUGCACUACCUUUUAUUUAUUUACUUUUUACAGAGAAACGAGAGAGAAAGAGGGCGGGGAGGGAGAGAGAGAGUUUUCCAUCUGCUGGUUCACUCUCCAAAUGCCCACAACAGCCAGGGCUGGGUUGAGACCAAAACCAGGAGCCCAGAACUCAGUGCAAAUCUCUUGUGUGGGUGGCAGGAACCUAGUCAGCUGAGCCAUCACCUGCUGCCUCCCAGGGUCUGCACUGCCAGGGAGCUAGAGUCAGGAUCUGGAGCCAGGAACUGAACCCAGUGUGGCACACAGGCAUCACAACCACUGAGCUAAAGGGCCACUCCUGGGCCGGCGCCGCGGCUCACUAGGCUAAUCCUCCGCCUAGCGGCGCCGGCACACCGGGUUCUAGUCCCAGUCGGGGCGCCGGAUUCUGUCCCGGUUGCCCCUCUUCCAGGCCAGCUCUCUGCUGUGGCCAGGGAGUGCAGUGGAGGAUGGCCCAGGUGCUUGGGCCCUGCACCCCAUGGGAGACCAGGAGAAGCACCUGGCUCCUGGCUCCUGCCAUCGGAUCAGCGCGGUGCGCCGGCCGCAGCACGCCGGCCGCGGCGGCCAUUGGAGGGUGAACCAACGGCAAAGGAAGACCUUUCUCUCUGUCUCUCUCUCUCACUGUCCACUCUGCCUGUCAAAAAAAAAAAAAAAAAAAUUAAAAAAAAUUAAAGGGCCACUCCUUCAUUAUCUUUUAAUUCUCUCCUUCCAUGGACCUUUGAAGUACUCUCAUAGCAGUUCCUGGUUUGCCAAAAUUAUGUCUCAUCCCCAACGUUCUUAGACUUUCCUAAAAAAAUCCCACAUUCUCAGCCACACACGGUCUUCUACAUGGCAGACUGCUGGUCAUGAGCUUGGGAACUGGGAGAGCCCAGUGGUUGUCAACUUUGCAUCACACAAGACUUCCCUUAGGUGCCUGUCUCAAAAGCAUCACAAAUAAACAUGUAAAGACACAUAUACAUCCAAAAUUAAUUUUUAGAUAAGAGGAAGAGAUAUAGACAUGGCCUCAGGAGUUGACAUGGCAAGAAUUUACCAUGUUUUUUUGGAGGACAUCAUCUACCCAGCUAGGGAGAAUCUAAGAGAUUCUGAUUGCAUAGUUCUAGGAUAGGACCUAGAAAUGUACAUUUUCUGAAAGCUUCCCUAAAUAAUUCUGAGCCCAUAGAGCACACACUAAACAACGCUAAGUUGCUCUAUGCCUUUCCAUCUGUAGGCAAGAAUGCUGAAGGUAGAAGGUGUGACUUGCCCAUGGUUAUCGGUGAUCUUACUGGUUAUCAUAAAUUGUGUUUCAAAAACAAUUCUUGACAUCUUUCUACUAACAUUCGGAAAAAAACAGAGUAGAAAACAUUGUUGUCUUCUUAGAAAACACUGAUAUCCUUGCCCAAGGAGGAAGGGAAGGGGGGUGGGCUGGAAAUUUGUGCAAGAAUGCAAACAACCCAUUUCUCCACCAAAAAAUAUGAGUCAAGUGUUGGCAUCAUUAGAAAGCAAUAGGAGCAGAUGUUUGGCCUAGUGGUUAACACACCAGCUGGGAUGUCCCCAACCCCAUUGGAGUACCCGGCUUCGUUCUUGGCUCUGGCUCCUAACUCCAGUUUCCUGCUAAUGUGGACCCCAGAGGGCAGCAAUGAUGGCUCAAGUAAUUGGGUUCCUGCCACCAAUGUGGGAGGCCCAGAUUGAGUUCCCGGCUCCCUGCUUCAGCCCUGCCACUGUUGUGGGUAUUGGGGGAGCAGUGAAAUCUCUCUCUCUCUCUUUUCUGUACCUUUCUGCCUCUCAAAUUUAAAGAUCAAAAAUAGAGGCCGGCGCCGUGGCUCACUUGGCUAGCCCUCCGCCUGGGGCGCCGGCAUCCCAUAUGGGUGCUGGUUCUAGCCCUGGUUGCUCCUCUUCCAGUCCAGCUCUCUGCUGUGGCCUGGGAAGGCAGUGGAGGAUGGCCCAAGUGCUUGGGCCCUGCACCCACAUGGGAGACCAGGAGAAGCACCCGGCUCCUGGCUUCAGAUCAGCGCAGCUCCAGCCGUAGUGGCCAUUUGGGGAGUGAACCAAUGGAAGGAAGACCUUUCUGUCUCUCACUGUCUAUAACUCUACUUGUCAAAUAAAUAAUAAAAAAAAUCAAAAAUAAAAAUAAAAAACCAAAAGCAAUAGCCAUAAAAGUUAUAUAAAAAUUUCGUGAAAAUUUUCGCUGAAAAUAUAAGUUUAGGGGCAAGCAUUUGGUUCGGCAGUUGGAAUGCCACUUGAGAUACCUGCAUCCCAUAUCAGAGUGCCUGGGUUCUAGUCUUAGCUCUAGGUCUGAUCCAGCUUCCUUCCAGUGUGUACCCCAGAGAAACAAAUGACAGCUCAACUGGUUGGGGUCCCUACCAUCCAUGUGGGAGAUUUGGAUGGGGUGCCAGGCUCCUGGUUUCAGCCUGGCCUAACCCUGGCUAUUGCAGGCUUUUGGAAAGUGAAUCAGCAGAUGGAAGAGCUCCCUUUCUCUCAUUCUUUUUCUCUGUUGUUCUUUUAAAUAAGGAAAUAAAUAAAACUUUAAAAAUAAAUACAAUGAAAGCACAAAAUUGCUCAAUGAAUAAAUAUUAUAAAAUUUGCCACAGAAUCUUGUAUAACAUUGUUUUGCUACAAAAAAAUUGAAAUCCAUGCAGAGUUUUUUCAUAAAAUGCAUUUUUCUGCUAACUUUUGAAGACCCCUUGUAUGGUGUUUUCACGUGGUCCUCUAACAAGAUCGGUGCACAGAAAGUGGGAACUGAGUAACUAAAUGAUUGCAUGGAGAGUAAAUGAACGUGGGAACAAUGAAUCUGCCCUCAGGCAGGGGACAGAGGGCCCAGACCAUGGUCUGACUGCCCCAGGGGGCUCAAGAAGUCCCAGGAGCCUGUGCUGGCUGAGGCUGGCUGGCAGGUAGCGGGCAUGAGGAUGCGCGUACUGAGAAGGGAAUCCUUCCGCGCUGAGUGCAGUCCUGUUCUGGCCCGUGCUUGCUCCUUGUGAGCAGGUGAGAAGUACUUGCCGGUCUCAGUAGUGUGGGUGUGCUAUCAGGUGACAAUUUGAUUGCUCAGGAAAGCGCUUCUCUUCCUCUCCUUUCUCCCUUGCCCCCAUUUGAAGCCGAGAAGGUGUCAGCGUGGGAGGUUUCACCCUGCCCUGGGCUGGGUGGCUUUUGCUGAUGAAGAGGGUCCUUCCGGGUGGCUUGGCUCCUUGAUCUAGCACGUUGUGCAUGUGCAGUUUCGCUUCUGGUCGAAACGUAAAAGCAACUGUACUCUGUCAGCCCUUCAUGCCGCGAGGUGACAGGAAGCUGGGUUUUAUUUGUUUUCCUCUUUGAAGUGAUUCAGCUGAGUGAGCAGACCUAAGAGUUUCAUUUUAACCAAAAGCUUUUGCUUAACCUCUUGGACAGUUACUUCACUGAGGACCUGUGGCCUGCUGGCCUUGGCUUCUGGAAAAUCGUCAGGGUUGCAAAAGAUGGAGAGGGAAGAAGCACACCAGUGACUCCAGAAAUCCAGUGUGGUCCCAUAUUUAUAAAACACAGCAGGCAUACCCAAAACAUGCCCCUUUAAGCACAUGGGGCUCAGGGCCCCCCUCCUAGCUUCAAUCCUAAUUUAGAUUCUGUACACCUGCAAACACAAAGCGCCUCUUGGAGUCUAUGAAAACGGCUGCAGGUGACACCAUGGCCCUCCAUGGCCUAUGAGAACGAAGCAGAGGACACUGAUAGGGCAGGGUGGAGACAGCUGCCCCCAAAUGGAAAGCACAGGACACAGCUGACCACAAAUCUGGUUUCUGUGUUCACACUUUAACUGUUGACUCCUUUGAUUUUUCAGACUGCACUUAAAGAUUCAUGAGAAGUGCAUUUCUGAAGCCGAGGUGCUUACAUUCUGAAGUCUAGGUAGAAUCGGAUCCAUUUCACAAAUCGGUGAAAUCUGGGUGUCUUGCACACUUUCCAUAUCAGCCCACUGAACGCAUUUAUGAAAAUAAUUGUGAUUUAGGGUUUGUAAUCUUUAAUUUCCUGUAAGUGAAACCAUAAGAAAUAGAAAGCAUUUCUUGGGUCACAGGGGUAGAGAGAAGAAAAGCACAAGUUCUCAUGUGUGUGCUAUGCUAACUUUAACCGUAAAGGGACGAUGAUGAUGCUGACAUUUAAAAAAGAAGAAAUGAACUAGGAACGGUAACUUCUUGUGUUAAGGACGCCAGCAACUUUCCUAAAUGCAUACCUGAGGGUGCCAUCCGACUCGUUGCCUAUCAAAAGCUCCCUGUGGCUUUCGGAGCCGAGCCUGCCCUCAUUAGCAGGGUAUAACAGGUCCUUUGCAGGAGCCACCUUUGCACCCUCAUCUGACUGCUCUUAUUUCAUUGCACUUAUUUAAUUGAGCUGAUAGACAUAUGAAUGCACAAGUAUUAGGGUUAUGAUUCAGCGAGUUUUGGACAAUGUCUAUGCCUGUGUGGUUGCCUCCCAAAGGAGAUGCAGACCAUUGCAUCACUCCAGAAAUUUCCCUUGGCUCCCUUCUAGGUGCUGAACAUGCCACACACUCUAACUUCCAUCUCCAGAGUCUGAGAGUUCCAGUUGUUCCACAGCCUCACCCACAUGGUGGUGUCAGGUUUUAAAAAUUGUAGUUUAGGCUGGUGCCGCAGCUCAAUAGGCUAAUCCUCCGCCUUGUGGUGCCGGGUUCUAAUCCCGGUCGGGGCACCGGAUCCUGUCCCAGUUGCCCCUCUUCCAGGCCAGCUCUCUGCUGUGGCCCGGGAGGGCAGUGGAGGAUGGCCCAACUGCUUGGGCCCUGCACCCACAUGGGAGACCAGGAGAAGCACCUGGCUCCUGGCUUCAGAUCAGCGCGGUGUGCUGGCCGCAGCAGCCA